GCAUUCAUGAUUGAAUGGUUACAGUGUCAAACUCAUAAUUAAGGAAUUCGUAGGUUCAAUUCCUUUUGGAUGCA
Non-coding RNA from Ilex paraguariensis (yerba mate), 74 nucleotides. The record is from the annotation of a GenBank genome assembly. NCBI's taxonomy places the organism in Eukaryota, Viridiplantae, Streptophyta, Magnoliopsida, Aquifoliales, Aquifoliaceae.